AUUGAACGCUAGCGGCAUGCCUAACACAUGCAAGUCGAACGGCAGCGCGAGGAGCUUGCUCCUUGGCGGCGAGUGGCGGACGGGUGCGUAACGCGUAGGAAUCUACCUCGUAGCGGGGGACAACCCGGGGAAACUCGGGCUAAUACCGCAUAAUCUCUUCGGAGCAAAGCAGGGGACCGUAAGGCCCAGCACUAUAAGAUGAGCCUGCGUUGGAUUAGCUAGUUGGUAGGGUAAAGGCCUACCAAGGCGACGAUCCAUAGCUGGUCGGAGAGGACGACCAGCCACACUGGGACUGAGACACGGCCCAGACUCCUACGGGAGGCAGCGGUGGGGAAUAUUGGACAAUGGGCGAAAGCCUGAUCCAGCAAUGCCGCGUGUGUGAGGAAGGCCCUCGGGUUGUAAAGCACUUUCGGUGGGGAAGAAAAAGCCAAAGAUAAUACCUUUGGAAAUUGACGUUACCCACAGAAGAAGCACUGGCUAACUCUGUGCCAGCCGCCGCCGUAA
This 504-nucleotide ribosomal RNA is filed under the name uncultured bacterium. RNAcentral describes it as "partial 16S ribosomal RNA". It matches the Rfam family "Bacterial small subunit ribosomal RNA", at positions 29 to 523 of the family's 1533-position model. The record is from RNAcentral.